AGUGGGAAAUGGGCCAAGUCAAAGGCCAUUAUGGCAAAAUAUGACCUGGAGGCCCGCCAAGCUAUGCAAGAACAUCUCUAGACCUUCAGUAGAAGGGGAGCAGAUGAGGACGAACCCACAAAAUCAGACCAAGGGGAAAAACAAGAAGGAGCAGAUGAUUAGUCUACAGAACCUCCUGACUACAAGAACUCCUUCUGUGACAUCACUGGCACUUCCGACAACAGUGGAGGAGUUGGUGAGCAGAGCCAGGAUCCCUGGCUUAUGGUGGGGUGGUUGACAGUUGAACAGAAUGGGUCCUUCUUACACACAGCAGUCAAUGCAGGUUUGU
RNAcentral lists this long non-coding RNA (328 nucleotides) under Rattus norvegicus (Norway rat). RNAcentral describes it as "long non-coding RNA NONRATT030801". The record is from RNAcentral. Lineage: Eukaryota; Metazoa; Chordata; Mammalia; Rodentia; Muridae.